AUGGACACGCCGACGUCGUCGACGUGGGAGGAGGGCUCGCAGUCCGACUUCGACGACGAUGACAUGCCGCAGCGGGGCAGCGUGCUGCGUGCGCUGAACCUCCGCCGCGACGACGACGUGGACGACGGCGCCGCCUCCGACGUGUCAUCCGAGUGCAGCGGGGAGCCCGGGAGCCCGUACGGGUCGCCGUACCCGCGCUGGCCGGUCUGCAAGCUGGCGGCGCGGAUGCCGCCGCCGGCGCCGCUGCUGCAGAGGCUCGGCACGGAGCCGCGCCGCGGCGGCGCGCAUGACCGCAAGGCCGGUUGCACCGAGUUGCAGCUGAUGAAGGAGAGGUUCUCCAAGCUCCUUCUCGGGGAGGACAUGUCCGGCGGCGGCAAGGGCGUCUCCACCGCCGCGGCCAUCUCCAAUGCCAUCACCAACCUCUACGCCACCGUUUUCGGGAGCUGCCACCGGCUGGAGCCACUGCCGGUGGAGAAGAAGUCGAUGUGGCGGCGGGAGAUGGACUGCCUGCUCUCCGUCUGCGACUACAUCGUCGAGUUCUUCCCGUCCAAGGACAUCCUUCCCGACGGCACGACCCGAGAGGUGAUGGCGACGAGGCCGAGAUCCGACAUCUACGUCAACCUCCCGGCCCUCGAGAAGCUCGACGACAUGCUGCUCGAGAUCCUGGACGGCUUCCAGAAGACGGAAUUCUGGUACCUCAACGACAAGGCGCACAAGGACAGCUGCGACGACUCGGCGCCGUGCCGUCCGGCGAGCCACCGCGGCGAGGAGCGGUGGUGGCUGCCGGUGCCGUGCGUCACCAAGUCCGGGCUGACGGAGUCCGCCCGGCGGGACCUGCGGCAGAAGCACGACUGCGCGAGCCAGAUCCACAAGGCGGCAAUGGCCAUCAACAACGGCAUCCUCGCCGAGAUCAAGAUCCCAGAAUCGUACACGCAGACGCUUCCCAAGUGCGGGCGGGCGAGCGUGGGCGACGCCAUCUACCGGGGCAUGUCGUUCCCGGGCAAGUUCUCGCCGGAGUACCUGCUGGACUGCCUGGAGAUAUCGUCGGAGCACGAGGCGCUGGAGGCGGCGGACCGCGUGGAGGCGGCGAUGCACGUGUGGCGGCGCAAGGCGGGCCACGGUCACGCGAGGUCGCCGUGGGGCGCCGUCAAGGACCUCAUGGAGUCGGACAAGAACGUGAUGCUGGCGAGCCGGGCCGAGGACGCCCUGCUCUGCCUCAAGCACCGCUUCCCCGGCCUCUCCCAGACCACGCUCGACGCCAGCAAGAUACAGCACAACAAGGACGUCGGGCAGGCCGUCCUGGAGAGCUACUCCAGGGUGCUGGAGAGCCUGGCGUACACCAUAGUGACAUGUAUAGACGACGUUCUUUUCGCCGACGAGUCGGCGAGGAAGAUCUGA
RNAcentral lists this ribosomal RNA (1398 nucleotides) under Triticum aestivum (bread wheat). Its description in RNAcentral is "partial small subunit ribosomal RNA". Lineage: Eukaryota; Viridiplantae; Streptophyta; Magnoliopsida; Poales; Poaceae. The record is from RNAcentral.